CUGUCACAACGGCUUCCUGACGUGGCGGAUGUAUUUAAUGGAGCA
This 45-nucleotide non-coding RNA is filed under the name Yoonia tamlensis. RNAcentral describes it as "SAM-SAH-Weickhmann-2018 RNA". It matches the Rfam family "SAM/SAH riboswitch aptamer". Lineage: Bacteria; Pseudomonadati; Pseudomonadota; Alphaproteobacteria; Rhodobacterales; Paracoccaceae. The record is from RNAcentral.